UUUACCACACAGCGUAUGACUUAGUCCAUAGAAAUCAGAAGAUUGCUUUGUAAUGUCCUUUACCUCUUGUAUUUGACACUCUUUAUGUCACCCAUUGAUUCUGGUUCCCAGAAGCAGUUCUGCCAUGAUACCAGAGCUGCCCAACCCUAUUUAGUAAUCCCAAUGUGAAAUUCUUUAAUAAUGAAUGAUGUCCAGUUUUUCUUAAAAAGAAAAAAGAAACUUCAUGAGCUCUAAAGCUGUGAAGUCCUAUGGCAUUAUAAACGUAGCCCUUGAACAAACAUUAAUUCAUUAAUUGGUUGGCCCUUUAAUUCAGCAUACAGUUAUCAAGCAUUCAGUUUAAGAAAUUGUGCUAAGUGAACAAACAGCAUAAUUACUAAGAAAUAAUUCCAACCUACUAUUUGGCACUGGAGUCAAACAGCAACUCCAGCAUAAAGGAAAGUCACCUCCUUUUUUUUA
RNAcentral lists this long non-coding RNA (456 nucleotides) under Bos taurus (domestic cattle). Its description in RNAcentral is "long non-coding RNA NONBTAT000663". Lineage: Eukaryota; Metazoa; Chordata; Mammalia; Artiodactyla; Bovidae. The record is from RNAcentral.